AACGUAGGAGACAAACGUUAUCCGGAGUUACUGGGCGUAAAGGGCGUGUAGGCGGUAUGUUAAGUCUGGCGUGAAAGCUCUCGGCUAAACCGGGAGAGGUCGUUGGAUACUGGCAAACUAGAGGAUGGUAGAGGCGUGCGGAACUUCGGGUGGAGCGGUGAAAUGCGUAGAUAUCCGAAGGAACACCGGUGGCGAAAGCGGCGCGCUGGAUCUCUUCUGACGCUGAGGCGCGAAAGCCAGGGGAGCAAACGGG
RNAcentral lists this ribosomal RNA (253 nucleotides) under uncultured bacterium. Its description in RNAcentral is "partial 16S ribosomal RNA". It matches the Rfam family "Bacterial small subunit ribosomal RNA", at positions 524 to 776 of the family's 1533-position model. The record is from RNAcentral.